Transfer RNA from Aureobasidium subglaciale EXF-2481, 92 nucleotides. It matches the Rfam family "tRNA". From Rfam's summary of the family: Transfer RNA (tRNA) molecules are approximately 80 nucleotides in length. Their secondary structure includes four short double-helical elements and three loops (D, anti-codon, and T loops). Further hydrogen bonds mediate the characteristic L-shaped molecular structure. tRNAs have two regions of fundamental functional importance: the anti-codon, which is responsible for specific mRNA codon recognition, and the 3' end, to which the tRNAs corresponding amino acid is attached (by aminoacyl-tRNA synthetases). tRNAs cope with the degeneracy of the genetic code in two manners: having more than one tRNA (with a specific anti-codon) for a particular amino acid; and 'wobble' base-pairing, i.e. permitting non-standard base-pairing at the 3rd anti-codon position. Lineage: Eukaryota; Fungi; Ascomycota; Dothideomycetes; Dothideales; Saccotheciaceae. The record is from Rfam.
GGCGCUCUGGCCGAGUGGUUAAGGCGUUUGACUCGAAUAUUAUCCGAUAUCAAAUCCAUUCGUGGGCGCAGGUUCGAGUCCUGCGGGCGUCG